UGGUUGCUUUGUUAAGUUGACAACAGGGCAACAAAUAUUGGCUGCAACUGGAAGAGAUGAUAAUAACAACAUCUUUCCCAUUGCAUUUGCUAUUGUUGACAAGGAGGACACUGCCAGCUGGUCUAACCCAGCUCAAGUAUGCUCUUGGUGGUGAGUCAGGGAAGUAUGUCAAGUACACUAUCAUAUUUGAUAGACAAAAGGUACCUCAUACAUCAUAAUUCUUAUUUUUACUGAAGUUUUACCAUGCUUAGUACUGUCAAAUAGCAUGUUGUUAUACUAUAUUUUGAACACUAGUUAUUUAAACAGGGCCUUCUUAAAGCCAUAAACAAUGUCUUCCCAAAUUGCCCUCAAAGAUACUGCCUUAGACAUAUUUAUCAGAACUUUCAAACAGCUGGCUUUAGAGGUGAAGAGUUAAAGAAGUAUAUGGAUCAGGCUAGUUAUUCAUAUCUGAGCAUGGUUUUGAACAAGCAAUGGAAGGCAUGAAAAGAGUGUGAGGCAGCUUGGAAAUGGCUUAGAAAGAUACCCAAGCAUACAUGGGCUAGACAUGCCAUGGACAAGAAUUGUAAAACUGAUUUGGUUGUUAAUAAUAUUAGUGAAGUGUUCAACAAAAUGAUACUUGAUGUGAGAGGGAAACCAAUUAAAACCAUGGUUGAUGGCAUCAGAACAAAAUUGCUAGUUAAGUUCAAUGCCAAUAGGACCAAGACUGAGACAGCCAAGUGGCAGAUAUGCCCAACAUAUGCUGAGAAGUUAGAAGAAGCAAAACACCAUGCUAGAUAUUGUCAGUCAAUCAAAGCAGGACCUGAUCUAUACCAGGUUAGCAGUGGAGAAAGCACAUAUGCAGUAAAUCUGCAAGUGCACACAUGUGAGUGUAGCAAAUGGGACAUGACUGGUGUUCCAUGCAAGCAUGGUGUUUCUGCAAUUAACAAGGCAAAACUUCAUCCAGAAGAUUUUGUUAGUGAUUUCUUCAAGAAACCAAUGUACCAAGCAGCCUACAAUCCAAUUGUGUAUCCUGUGCCUGGGCCUGAUCUAUGGCCAAAUACUGGGACCGCUGACAUAAAGCCACCAGUUUUCAGAGACAAGCCAGGAAAGAAGCAGACUAAGAAGAGAAAGAAUCAGUUUGAGAAGCCAGCUCCCAAAGAUACUUGAAGGAUGGCAACAAUAACCUGCAGCAAUUGCAACUUGACAAGGCAUAGGUACACUAGCUGCCACAAAAAUCUGAAGCCAGCCCUAGCAAUGAGAAGGAACCAACACCAGGUUAAAUCUUGUUUAUAUAUGUUGUCACUGCAGGUUAAAUCUUGUGUAUAUCUCUACUAUUAAAGCAGAAUCGAACGACGAUCUGCUCACCUCCCCUCGUACGAUAGUAACAGAAAGAAAAAAUCUGCCAAAAACCUCACGCACCAAAUCGACGCAAAAUCAGGGAAAAACCCACUUCCUCCACCUUCUCCCCGACCCAAUCUCCAUCUCUCUCCCAGUCCCUAACUACCCACCCAGCGGCUGCCCCUCUCUCCGCCGAGAAAAAUCGCCGGAUCCCCGCCCCAAGCCCCCAAAACUCCUGCCACGGUUGGGGUCUCCGGUGUAGGAGGAUCCACAGCCCGCGGUGGGUCUUCUCCCCUGCACCCCGAGCUCCGAUGGCCUCAAUCUGGGAGCCGAGUGGAGGCGCGGUGGUGCCAAGCAUGGCGAUUCUGAUCCUGAUAGCGUCCUGGCCACGGUCGCCGACGGCACGCCCUCACAAGAGUCCCGCACGGGAGCCAUAGGAGAGGGUGGCACACUGGCUGCACCGAUGAGUUCGCAGCCAUCAUGCACGUCGACAUUAGCUGCGGCACGUACGAGCCCUGCAUCAUCGGCGAGAUCGGCCUAGGUUACUACACCGGCGACCUCUGUGGUACAUGCGAUGAUGCCAGCAAAUCCACAAGAUUAGAUGCGUGCACUUGCUGGUGAUUAUAGCCAUCUUGGACGCCUUCUUCGUGGACCCCGGCUUGCUCAAGGUUCCCUGCCUGUCGAAUUUUUUUCUCUGCCGAGAAGUGCAUAUUGUUGAUUGGUCCGGCUUACAAAGAGGAGUACCAGCUUCCCGAGUCUCUUACAGAGGCACUCUAAGUCUCUCGUACUAGCAUUUGUUGCUCUGUUAAGUUCGUUAGCUUGAGAAUGCACUGUGCAUAUAUAAAUACUUGUCUCUGUAACUAUAGCUCCAUCUAUCAGGUGAUUCUUUGACUUGAGUUAACACCUGCUGUUUUUCUGAAUGUUAUCUGAAUCUAGGAAAUUACCUGAUUGUUCAAUUCAUGUAUAUGAUUUUUGGUUAUCA
Triticum aestivum (bread wheat) is the source of this 2299-nucleotide long non-coding RNA. RefSeq lists it as uncharacterized. The record is from RefSeq and is a predicted model, not a curated record. The transcript has 3 exons. Lineage: Eukaryota; Viridiplantae; Streptophyta; Magnoliopsida; Poales; Poaceae.